GAUGAAGAACGUAGCGAAAUGCGAUAAGUAGUGUGAAUUGCAGAAUUCAGUGAAUCAUCGAAUCUUUGAACGCACAUUGCGCCCCUUGGUAUUCCAUGGGGCAUGCCUGUUCGAGCGUCAUUUGUACCUUCAAGCUUUGCUUGGUGUUGGGUGUUUGUCUCGCCUUUGCGUGUAGACUCGCCUUAAAAUAAUUGGCAGCCGGCGUAUUGAUUUCGGAGCGCAGUACAUCUCGCGCUUUGCACUCAUAACGACAGCGUCCAAAAGUACAUUUUACACUCUUGACCUCGGAUCAGGUAGGGAUACCCGCUGAGUUUAAGCAUAUCAAUAAGCGGAGGA
RNAcentral lists this unclassified non-coding RNA (336 nucleotides) under soil metagenome. RNAcentral's name for it is "partial contains 5.8S ribosomal RNA, internal transcribed spacer 2, and large subunit ribosomal RNA". The stretch from base 1 to 120 matches the Rfam family "5.8S ribosomal RNA", at positions 35 to 154 of the family's 154-position model. The record is from RNAcentral.